This 849-nucleotide ribosomal RNA is filed under the name Triticum aestivum (bread wheat). Its description in RNAcentral is "partial small subunit ribosomal RNA". The record is from RNAcentral. Lineage: Eukaryota; Viridiplantae; Streptophyta; Magnoliopsida; Poales; Poaceae.
AUGCCAAUUUUGCGCAGUGUGUCUACCAGUACAGCCACAACAGCCUUUGCAUUCCCACGACCCAUGGCUCCUAUUGUGACAGCUGAGGACCGAAGAGGAACAGAUGCAGCAAGGCCGCCUUCAGACAGCAGUAAGAUUGCAUCCCUCCGUAACUUCAAAAGAGCACGUGGAUUGUGCUUCAAAUGCGGAGAAAGAUGGGGCAAAGACCACACAUGCCCCACCAUAGUUCAGAUGCACAUCUUUGAGGAACUGCUCGAGUUAAUUAGCCCUGACGAAGAGAGUCUUGGUGACAAACAUGCCGAACCUGCAGAGACAGAGGACGACAAUUUGUGUGUGUUGUCUAUCCAUGCAGUAGCUGGCUCGGAAGGCCCCGGCGUUAUGCAGUUACAUGCUUGGCUACAGGGACGGGAGGUUCUUCUGUUGGUGGAUUCCGGGAGCACGUCCUCAUUUGUGGAUCAACGUCUAGCUGCUCGACUGAACGGGGCGUUGCCGUUGUCCAAGCCUUGCAAGGUUAAGGUAGUUGACGGUGCUCUACUACUCUGCAAUAUUGUCAUUCCUCAGUGUCAGUGGACAUGUCAAGGACAGGAAUUCAUCACUGAUUUAAAGAUCAUUUCAUUGGGAGCGUAUGAUGCCAUCUUGGUCAUGGACUGGCUCAAGAAACACAGCCCGAUGUAUAUUGAUUGGGAGGCACACCAUAUGUCAGUAACCACCAGUACAGGAGCUAUGGAACUUCAAGCUAUAGCAAAGGGUUCCCACCAGUGCUCUGCAAUUUCAUCUCAAGAGCUUCUGAAUGCUUGCAAACAAGGGUCUGUAGCUUAUGUGGUCCAUCUGAACACUGUAGCACAGUAA